UACGUAGGGUGCAAGCGUUAAUCGGAAUUACUGGGCGUAAAGCGUGCGCAGGCGGUUAUGCAAGACAGAUGUGAAAUCCCCGGGCUCAACCUGGGAACUGCAUUUGUGACUGCAUGGCUAGAGUACGGUAGAGGGGGAUGGAAUUCCGCGUGUAGCAGUGAAAUGCGUAGAUAUGCGGAGGUACACCGAUGGCGAAGGCAAUCCCCUGGACCUGUACUGACGCUCACGCACGAAAGCGUGGGGAGCAAACAGG
This 253-nucleotide ribosomal RNA is filed under the name uncultured bacterium. RNAcentral's name for it is "partial 16S ribosomal RNA". It matches the Rfam family "Bacterial small subunit ribosomal RNA", at positions 524 to 776 of the family's 1533-position model. The record is from RNAcentral.